CAAUAGCGUAUACUAAAGUUGUUGCAGUUAAAAAGCUCGUAGUUGGAUUUCUGCUGAGGACGAUCGGUCCGCCCACUGGGUGAGUAUCUGGCUCGGCCUUGGCAUCUUCUUGGAGAACGUUGCUGCACUUGACUGUGUGGCGCGGUAUCCAGGACUUUUACUUUGAGGAAAUUAGAGUGUUUCAAGCAGGCGCACGCCUUGAAUACAUUAGCAUGGAAUAAUGAGAUAGGACCUUGGUUCUAUUUUGUUGGUUUCUAGAGCUGAGGUAAUGAUUAAUAGGGAUAGUUGGGGGCAUUCGUAUUUAACUGUCAGAGGUGAAAUUCUUGGAUUUGUCAAAGACGGACUACUGCGAAAGCAUUUGCCAAGGAUGUUUUCAUUGA
RNAcentral lists this ribosomal RNA (380 nucleotides) under uncultured eukaryote. RNAcentral's name for it is "partial 18S ribosomal RNA". It matches the Rfam family "Eukaryotic small subunit ribosomal RNA", at positions 592 to 976 of the family's 1831-position model. The record is from RNAcentral.